CACCGAGAAACCUGUUCAGGAGUGGAUAGAUGAGCCUCCCAGCAGUGACAGGAAAUCCCUGGUGACGGUGACAACGAUGACAAGAAGGACAGAAACCACACCAUCAAUGAGGUGAGGAAACAGCCUCACAGAUGUUGUGCAAUUGACACCAGAGAAAACAAUUUCAAAGUUCUGUGAAACAGGAGCUCUUAUUCCCUGUACUGGAACGCUUAAAGAGAAACCCAAGUGGCAUAAGUGUGGGGCCCCACAAAACCCGAAUCUGUCCUUGCAUCCACGCUCCCUACGGCAGCAUAGCUCUGACACAUUCC
Zalophus californianus (California sea lion) is the source of this 308-nucleotide long non-coding RNA. RefSeq lists it as uncharacterized. Lineage: Eukaryota; Metazoa; Chordata; Mammalia; Carnivora; Otariidae. The record is from RefSeq and is a predicted model, not a curated record. The transcript has 3 exons.